RNAcentral lists this ribosomal RNA (253 nucleotides) under uncultured bacterium. Its description in RNAcentral is "partial 16S ribosomal RNA". It matches the Rfam family "Bacterial small subunit ribosomal RNA", at positions 524 to 776 of the family's 1533-position model. The record is from RNAcentral.
UACGUAGGGGGCAAGCGUUGUCCGGAAUUAUUGGGCGUAAAGAGCGUGUAGGCGGCCAGAUAGGUCCGUUGUGAAAACUGGAGGCUUAACCUCCAGCCGUCGAUGGAAACCAUUUGGCUAGAGUCCGGAAGAGGAGAGUGGAAUUCCUGGUGUAGCGGUGAAAUGCGCAGAUAUCAGGAAGAACACCCGUGGCGAAGGCGGCUCUCUGGGACGGUACUGACGCUGAGACGCGAAAGCGUGGGGAGCGAACAGG